AUUCACCGCUACCUGGCUGUAUCCGGAUCGAAAAGUCUAUUUCUACUUUUAAAUAUUUUCGUGCAAAACUUUCGCUUAAGGAAGGAAUCGUUCAAAUAUAUGUUGGAUAGCAAAAGUAGUGAGUUAAAAACUCCACGAAGGUCCACAGGAAUACCCUAAAUUGUAAAAUUAGCUCCAACUUUAAAGUUUUUGGCGCAAAGAGGGUAUCAACAGCAAAUUGGACAAGAUCACCAUACAGGACUAGCUCAACAAACAGUUUCGCGUUGUGUUUUUGAAGUUUGUGAAGUAAUUGAGAAAAUGCUGUGUCCAAAACACAUAAUUUUUGCAAUGUCUUCUGAAGAUAAAAAUGAAGCGAAACGAGCUUUUUAUUCAAUGUCUGGAAUUCCAGGAGUAAUUGGAUUGGUGGAUGGUACUCCCAUCAAAAUGAUACGACCGGCAGUUAAUGAGCAUUUAUAUUUCAAUAGGAAAUUAAAGCAUAGUAUAAACGCUAUGGUGAUAUGUGAUCACAAGAUGAAGAUAAAAGCCGUUAACGGUCGGUUUGUUGGGGCGUGUCAUGAUUCACAUGUGUGGAAUUAGUCAAGCGAGCGCCAAUAUUUCAAAACCAACUAUGUGAAUGGCGAAAUAGGAAUUCGCAUUCUUGGCGACCAUAUACACAUUCGUUAAUUUUACUCGUUAGCUUUAUAUGCAUCAAUUAUUUUGCUUACUUAAUUUUUUUCUUAUAGGCGACUCUAGACAUCCGCUUGAACCAUGGCUUUUAACUCCAUACAGAAAUGCUGCUGAAAACUCUGCUGAAAGUUACCACAACAUAAAAUUUUCAAGAGUAUUUGCAGUAUUAAAAGCGCGGUUCCGAUGCCUUUUAGCUGCUAGAGAACUACAUUAUAUAAUACCCAAGGAUUACCCUCCUUCCGCCCAACCGACGCGAGGGGCGCAAUCCGCGAACGAGCGGAAUUAGCCGAGUCAUAAAAGGCAAGAGAGUUUUAAGCGUUGCGAUCUUAAGCUGCUCAGCUACAGAAACAAAAAUUUCAACAACCAAAAUUAAGAAAUAAAUUAAAGUUUAUAAUUUUUAAAUGUUACUUGUUGAGAGUAGAUAAGAUAAUUUUUUUAAUGGUAAAGAGUGAAUCUGUUAGAUCAAAUGUGCUGGAAUGAGAAUUGAAAUCAUGACAUAUACGGCGGAAUGGUUCGUUUAACUCAAAAUUUGUUGUAGAAAAUUUUAAAAGUAAGGUUCUAAACUGCCUGGUAGAGCGAGCGGGGACGUUAAAAUUAAUACCAGAUAAGAGAGGUGGGCUACAGACUGACCCAUUCAUGAGUUUUACAAGAAAUAUUAUACCAAGCAUCUCCGUACAACUAGCGAUUGCCGGGAGAUUUAUGUAUAUGUUUUAAACGGUUAGUGCAAGGAAGUUUUAACUGGAAUCCCAAUGCAAAUGAUUUAAGGCAAAUGUUUUUGAACGGACUCUAACUUAUCUGAAUGGAUUUGGUAACUAGGGUUCCAAACCACAGAAGCAUACUCUAAUAUAGGCCUCACCAAAGAUGUAAAAAGAAUUUUUGUGGUAAGCGGAUCUCUAAAUUCUUUAGACCAACGCUUAACAAAACUAAGAACGCCUUUAGCUUUAAAACCGUGGAAGAUCCGUGAAGAUUAAAAUUGAGUUUGGGGCCCAUAGUUACUCCCAGAUCGACAAAACUACAUACUUGUUCCAACCUAAAGUUUUGUAUUGCGUAUGAAGUAGGGUCUACAGAUCUACGUGAAAAGCACAUCGUUUUACAUUUUUUAAGGUUCAAUGGCACGUCAUUUCUAUCAUACCAAGAAACUAGGUUGGUUAAGUCAGUUUGCAACUGACAUCUUUCGCUGCUUGAAGUAUACGUUUUAAAAAGUUUUACAUCGUCAGCAUAUAACAAAACUUUUGAAGACUUAACAACAGAUGAUAUGUCAUCAAUAAAUAACAUUGAUUAUGUCAGAAAACUGAUCGUUAAAUAUGACUUGUUGAAUUCUAUUACUAAGAAAAGAAGCAACACAUUUUAGAAAUAUGGGUUGAAAACCAAUAAGAUCAAUUUUAUUCAAAAGAAUUGAAUGGUUUACUUUAUUAAAGGCUUUGCUAAAAUCUGUGUAGUAUAUAACAUCAGUAUUCUUAUUCUCCCUAAAGCCCGUUAAUACAUGUGAUACAAAUUCAAGCAAAUUAGUUAUUGUAGAUUUCCCUUUACGAAAACCGUGCUGAGAACAAGAAAUUAGUGGAGAGAUCAAAAAGUUUAGGUAUUGCAGAUUAUGCCGCAGAAAAAGUGGUGCAAAUUUUGAAUUGUUGUACUCUUCAUAAUAUUUCCACUCUUUUUAAUGUGGAAUCACCUGCCAAUAUAGCAAUAGAAGUUGAAGAAGUCGAUGCUAGUUAUACUGAAACCAUAGAAAAUGCGAAUGAAACCAAUAGUGCUAAACGUUUAAGGGAUCAAAUAAAAAACAGUAUGAUUACUUUAUAAACAUAUAACACUAUUUAAUAAAGUAAACUUUUUAAUUUUUCACAUUUUCACAUUUAUUUGAUUAAAAUUCGCAUUAAUGAUAUAAAGUUUUAGUCUCUUGCAAAUGUGUAUACAUUAGGAUGUGUCAUUCUGAAGCAACCUUUUUUUUCAACUGAAAAACAGGCUCAAAACUUUCGAAAAUGUGUAAAAAAAAGUCACUCAAAAGAUGAGCUCUUAAUAUUAAUAUUAAGAGGUGCCUAUUUCAAAUUUUGUUUUCCAUAUAAAUUACAUGGAAAAAAAAUAA
Long non-coding RNA from Bactrocera dorsalis (oriental fruit fly), 2746 nucleotides. RefSeq lists it as uncharacterized. The transcript has 2 exons. Lineage: Eukaryota; Metazoa; Arthropoda; Insecta; Diptera; Tephritidae. The record is from RefSeq and is a predicted model, not a curated record.